Molecule: ribosomal RNA, 433 nt
Filed under: uncultured bacterium
Lineage: Bacteria
Description: partial 16S ribosomal RNA
Rfam family: Bacterial small subunit ribosomal RNA
Source: RNAcentral
AACGAACGCUGGCGGCAUGCCUAACACAUGCAAGUCGAACGAGACCUUCGGGUCUAGUGGCGCAAGGGUGCGUAACGCGUGGGAACCUGCCCUUAGGUUCGGAAUAACUCCCCGAAAGGGGUGCUAAUACCGGAUAAUGUCUUCGGACCAAAGAUUUAUCGCCUUUGGAUGGGCCUGCGUUGGAUUAGCUAGUUGGUAGGGUAAAAGCCUACCAAGGCGACGAUCCAUAGCUGGUCUGAGCGGAUGAUCAGCCACACUGGGACUGAGACACGGCCCAGACUCCUACGGGAGGCAGCAGUGGGGAAUAUUGGACAAUGGGCGAAAGCCUGAUCCAGCAAUGCCGCGUGAGUGAUGAAGGCCUUAGGGUUGUAAAGCUCUUUUACCCGGGAUGAUAAUGACAGUACCGGGAGGAUAAGCUCCGGCUAACUCCGUG